This 3782-nucleotide long non-coding RNA is filed under the name Malus domestica (apple). RNAcentral describes it as "long non-coding RNA (MDOM_LNC015934)". Lineage: Eukaryota; Viridiplantae; Streptophyta; Magnoliopsida; Rosales; Rosaceae. The record is from RNAcentral.
AAAAGCUAAUUAAUCUUUUUUUCGUAUGUAAUUUAUUAUUAGUGUGAGAUAAUGCAGAUGACGAUGAUCAAUUUCUAAAUUAGUAACUCACAGUCACAGUCACUAGUGCUGGAUCACUGCUGUAUAUUGCAAUAUGAGAAACUUUUAAGUGUGCUCGGAAUAUAAGGUGGUUCACCAUAUGUCAUUAUAUUAGUGAAGGAAGUUUUAUCUUUCAAGUGUCUUUUCACUUGUAUAAUGACAUAUGAUGUAUCAUCCUUGGUUCCCGGCACAUUGAAAAAUCUUUCAUUGCGAUAUAAAGAGAUUUUUCAGUGUGUUCGGAACACAGGAUGAUACAUCAUGUGUCACUAUACAAAUGAUGAGAUAUUUGUAUUAAAAAAUUAACAACUUGAAAAAUAAAAUUUCCCUCCACUUAUAUAAUAAUACAUGGUAUACUAUUCAUGUUUUGAGCACAAAAUAAAAAUUUCUCUUGCGAUAUAUAGCUAGCUAAUUCUUUGACCCCAUUAAUUACUAAUUAAUAAUUAAGUAAGAUUCCUCUCUUUAUAAACACCAUGUUUUUAAUUAAUUGCUGAAACUUGAACUAAAUAAGCAAGCUUGCUACACAGCACUAUACAUAUUUGUUUGUAUUUUUACCCAAAUAUAAAAUAUGCUUCACCAGUCGGUCUGCAUUAUUGGGCUAUCUAGCCAGGGGACCUUAUUAGUAAUUAGGGUUUAGGGUAAAAAUUAUUUAGACAAGAAAGGACAUUUAUCAAAUAAUAAUGAUGGAAUCGGAACCUGAAUACAUGUAGGAUCCUCUACUUGUGUCUUUUGGUGCUCCAUGUUUUGCAGGUGUAUUCAAAGUUACAUUUGAGUCACUUAGUACUACGGUCGAGUGAUAUUUGAACCACAUUAUUAUUAGCCAAUUGUGAAGCUUAGUCCAUUCUCUCUCAUUCUUUUAAUGUAGAUAAUAUCAUUUGUUUAAAAAAUGUCCAAAUAAAUAAAAAAUUGAGUGUAAAAGUUAUUGCCCACACCAAGUAGAAAGAAAAUAUGUCAUUCUGACAAGAAAGCUAUGAUCUAUAUUAUGAUUACAAUCAUCUUCGAUUCACGUGCUCGAGAAUUCGGUACUCAAUAUAAUCAUCAUUUGAUGGGAAGAUAUGAUGUAGUAACAUCUAAUAAGCAUAUUGAUCGUCAAAUAUUGAUUGUACAAUAUACUUAUAAAUAUUGUAGUCAGUUCAUACUAAAUAAACCAAAUUAGAACAUUCACAUUUAAGUAUGUCCAUUGGACUGUGAAACAAAAAACUCAAUGCAGACAGACCUUCAGUCCACAUACCACAGAAAUCGAUUGUCAGUUGACGUAGGUUUCUUUUCGUGUCUAGAAUUGGACUUAUAAGGCAAUAGUUCAGCGGCAUGUAACAUCUCUUGUCAAAUAACACACUAUCAAGCGUAAGUUUUUUUCUACAUGGUAAUGUAUUAAUAAAUUAAGACGUCAUAUGAUGGUAAACUCAUUUCAUAUAAAUUGCUUUUUCAAAAUUAACGCAAGUCAUAGUUUGAUGUAAGGACAAAAAACACAACACGCUCACACAUGCGUAAAAAUAUAUGAAAUUUGUUUCUAUUAUUUUUUAAUUAGGGGGCAACCACAUGAAAAAUAAGCCUGCAAAUAAAAGCAAUUUCCAGAUUCAAAUUUAACGCAAAUAUAACAUAAAGGGUUGUAAGCUCACCAGAUUUCAGAGACUAGAAAGACAAAAUUCAUGAGAAAAUCAGCAUAGAAACAAAUAUCCAAGUACCAUCCCUGUGUUCAUUCCAUGUUUGCAACCAUUUUAGAGACAAGGUUGCUGAAGUCGAGAAAACGCUAACGUCGUUAUCAAGCUUAUACGCGGAUAUAUAGGUAUAUAUAGAGAACCCCACAGUGCCCGGGAAGCACAAGAUAAGGACUUGGAUUGUCUGCCCUUCCCAUCUCAUACCCUUCUCAUACCCUCCUAUUUUUGUGGUCACGGUUAAACCACGUCAAGAUUUUAUAUUCCCAUUACAUUUUGUCUUAUUAUUUCUAUAAAAAAAAAUCAAUAUAAAAUGUUGACGUGCCUUAACUGUAACCACAUAAUAUAGGAGGGCAUAGGAAAUGCAUAGGAUGGUGAGGGCAGACAAUCCAAGUUCGACAAUAUGUGCAAAAAUUUAAGAACAAAUUUAUACAGAUAUGGAAAUAGUGAGUCUCAGUUGCAGAUGAAUUCCCGUCACUGGCUUCAGGUUAACUCAGUUCAUCCCUGAGAUGGAGCGAAUAUGGGCAAUCCUGGAAUUGAAAGAAGGUAUUAGAUGGGACAUUAUAUUAUAUUGCUUGCAAACAUGGUGAAUACGAUAAUCAACGAAAAAACAAAACAAUAAAAUUGCAAGAAGGUAAUUUAUUAUUAGUGUGAGAUACUGCAGAUGACGAUGAUCAAUUUCUAAAUUCAACAAGGUAAUUUAUUAUUAGUGUGAGAUAAUGCAGAUGACGAUGAUCAAUUUCUAAAUUAGUAACUCAGCCAGAGUCACUAGUGCUGGAUCACUGUAUGUUGCAAUAUGAUAACAUAUGAUAUACCAUCCUUGGUUCCCAUAACAAUGAAAAAUCUUUCAUUGCGAGAUAGAUAGAUUUUUCAGUGUGUCCGAAAUACGGAAUGGUACACUACGUGUUACUAUAUAAGUGAUGAAAUAUUUGUAUUAAAAAAUUAACAACUUGAAAAAUAAAACUUCCCUCUACUUAUAUAAUGAUGCAUAGUGUACUAUUUGUGUUCUGAGCACAAUGAAAACUUUUCUCUUGCGAUGUAUAGCUAGCUAACUCUUUGACCCCAUUAAUUAAUAAUUAAUAAUUAAGUAAGAUUCCUCUAUUUAUACACACCAUGUUUUUAAUUAAUUGCUGAAACUUGAACUAUAUAAGCAAGCUUGCUAGACAGCACUAUAGAUAUUUGUUUGUUUUUUUUACCCAAAUAUAAAAUAUGCUCCACCAGUCAGUCUGCAUUAUUGGGCUAUCUAGCUAGGGGACCUUAUUAGGGUUUACGUUAAAAAUUAUAUAGACAAGAAAGGAAAUUUAUCAAAUAAUAAUGAUGGAAUUGGAACCUGAAUAUAUGUAGGAUCCUCUACUUGUGUCUUUUGGUGCUCCAUGUUUUGUAGGUGUAUUGAAAUAUAUAUUUGAGUUACUUAGUAAUACGGUCGAGUGAUAUUCCUCUUUACUAGUAAGUGAGAAGUCUUUGGUUCGAUUUUUUGUCAAAAACAAAUUUGAACCAUAUUAUUAUUAGCCCGUUGUGAUUUAGUUUACUCCAUCAUCCCUUUAGUGUAGAUGAUAUCAUUUGUUAACAAAAAGUCCCAUUUGAAUAAAAAUUUUGAGUGUAAAAGUUAUUGCCCGCACCAACUAGAAAGAAAAUAUGUCAUUCUGACAAGAAAAUUAUGAUCUAUAUUAUGAAUACAAUCAUCUUCGGUUCACGUGCUCGAGAAUUUAGUACUCAGUACAAUCAUCAUCCAAUGAUCAGAUAUGAUGUAGUAACUUCUAAUAACCAUAUUUGACCGUUAAAUAUUGAUUGUACAACAUGCUUAUAAGUAUUGUAGCCAGUUCAGACUAAAUAAACAAAAUUAGAACUUUCACAUUUAAGUAUGUCCAUGGGACUAGGAAACAAAAAACUCAAUGCAGACAGACAUUCAGUGCACAUACAACAGAUGUCAAUUGCCAGUUGACAGGUUUCUUUCCGUGUCUAAAAUUGGAGGACUUAUAUGGCAAUACUUCAGCGGCAUGUAAUGUCUCUUGUCCAAUUACACAUUAUGAUGCGUAAGUUUUUUUUUUUUUU